Molecule: unclassified non-coding RNA, 291 nt
Filed under: uncultured Helotiaceae
Lineage: Eukaryota; Fungi; Ascomycota; Leotiomycetes; Helotiales; Helotiaceae
Description: sequence contains ITS1
Rfam family: 5.8S ribosomal RNA (bases 1-105)
Source: RNAcentral
GAAAUGCGAUAAGUAAUGUGAAUUGCAGAAUUCAGUGAAUCAUCGAAUCUUUGAACGCACAUUGCGCCCCUUGGUAUUCCGAGGGGCAUGCCUGUUCGAGCGUCAUUAUAACCAAUCACGCCCUGUGCGUGGACUUGGGGUUCGCGAUUCCGCGUCCCCUAAAACCAGUGGCGGUGCCGUUGGGCUCUAAGCGUAGUAAUUCUUCUCGCUACAGGGUCCCGCGGUUGCUUGCCAUAACCCCAACUUUCUCAGGUUGACCUCGGAUCAGGUAGGGAUACCCGCUGAACUUAA